Molecule: ribosomal RNA, 253 nt
Filed under: uncultured bacterium
Lineage: Bacteria
Description: partial 16S ribosomal RNA
Rfam family: Bacterial small subunit ribosomal RNA
Source: RNAcentral
UACGUAGGGUGCGAGCGUUGUCCGGAAUUAUUGGGCGUAAAGAGCUCGUAGGCGGUUUGUCGCGUCGGCCGUGAAAUCUCCACGCUUAACGUGGAGCGUGCGGUCGAUACGGGCGGACUUGAGUUCGGUAGGGGAGACUGGAAUUCCUGGUGUAGCGGUGAAAUGCGCAGAUAUCAGGAGGAACACCGGUGGCGAAGGCGGGUCUCUGGGCCGAUACUGACGCUGAGGAGCGAAAGCGUGGGGAGCGAACAGG